UUUCCUUCCCACUGGGGCGUGCCCCGAACUGAAGCCAAUGACAACAGCCGGGUGGAGGCGGACGAUCGGGAGGACUUCCACCGACUAAAAGAUAUGUCGGUCCCGAAGCAGAGGGAGCUUAUUACCGAACAAGCUCUCUAUGACGCCGGCUUGAGCUUGGUCCCCCGACUAGGUAUCGCCCGAUCCCCCGGUCUCCUUUUCAUUCGGCCCUU
This 212-nucleotide long non-coding RNA is filed under the name Elaeis guineensis (African oil palm). RNAcentral describes it as "long non-coding RNA (EGUI_LNC072970)". The record is from RNAcentral. Lineage: Eukaryota; Viridiplantae; Streptophyta; Magnoliopsida; Arecales; Arecaceae.